AUACUCUCAGUGGCUUCUUUGGGGUCAGGGUGUUCUGGUGUCAGUGCCACAAACAGAACACCCUGACCCCAAAGAAGCCACUGAGAGUAU
Non-coding RNA from Pelobates cultripes (western spadefoot toad), 90 nucleotides. The record is from the annotation of a GenBank genome assembly. Lineage: Eukaryota; Metazoa; Chordata; Amphibia; Anura; Pelobatidae.